GGGAACGUCUAUCAGGAUAAUGGAUCGUUCAGGAAUAUCAAGAAACAAUCUGGGUAUUGCUGGGCGAGAGACUAUCAUCGACAGUUUGCCAUUCUCUCAAGUAAUGAAAGCAAGAAAUGUUUUUGAAAUGAAUAUUUUUCAAUGAAAUUUUUCGCAAUUUAAAUUAAAACACAUAUAUACAUUUUAUACAGUAUUUAAGAUACACUCACACACAAAUAAAAAUAUGUACAUAGUAUAUAGGUAGGUAUAUGUACAUAUAGUGAGAUUGUUUUUGAUGUUUUGUUUUUAGCUAUUCUUCGUUCUAUUGCGCGUAUAUAUUAUAGUACAAAGUAUACAUAUGUAUAUAUGUACCCAUUGUAGGUGUUUUUAAAUACAAAUACAAACGCUAUUUUUUUUUGGCAAGACUUAGUGCAUCAUUGACAUUGGCUUCGUAUUUGGUUUUGACAUCUGGCCAUUUGGAUAAAGGCUUUCUAUUUCGGUCUAUGACUCUAGGCCUUGUUAGGGAGCACUUUACAGACUCUAAUCCUUUUAUACCUAUAUAAAUAUAUUAUAUGCAAUUGUUCAGAAAAUUGUUUUGAAAAAAGCUAAAAUCUACAAGCAUGUUUUUAAUAACUUCAAUAAAAAUUAAAUAUCCAAGAAAAUAUGGCAAAACAAUUACUAGACAAACUGUAUAAUUACAUCAAUAACGCACUUGAUUUCCGUUGUUUGCUAUUGUUGCAAGGUCGUUCCAAGGCAAAUUAUUUCUGCAACUUUUUGUUUCUUGUUGUUGAUUGUUGAUUAAAGUUUAAUCGAUGUGUUCUGUGUGUGGUUGUCACAACAAAGUUUAUUUUAGCCUGUCAUCGCUUGUCACAAGACUAAUUUAUGAGAUAAUCACAAUCGCACCAAUACUGGAAUAAUAAAUAAGCCUCACAACGUUUUCAGAGCGAGCAAUUUAGAUAUUCUCAUAACUGACUCAGGGUUGUACAGCUCACACAGAUACACAAUUACACUCACACAGAUACUCACAUACAUGGCAAAUUAUUCUAAUCAAGCAAUUAACUUAUUAUUUUCGAGUCAAUUAUACAACGAAAACAAACAAUUUGAUGUGUAAAAGCAUUUCAUCAUUAACUUGACUCGCGUGCCAAAGACUUAUAAACUGAAUACGAUUCCAAACAAGCUUAACAAAUUGUCAGAAACUUAUGAAAUUACAUACAUGGAGUGGAAAA
This is a long non-coding RNA of Drosophila innubila, 1205 nucleotides long. RefSeq lists it as uncharacterized. The record is from RefSeq and is a predicted model, not a curated record. The transcript has 2 exons. NCBI's taxonomy places the organism in Eukaryota, Metazoa, Arthropoda, Insecta, Diptera, Drosophilidae.